AAAAUAAUAAAGAAAAAAAAAUCUGCCAUAUUAUCAUAAUGGCUUGAUCAAUGUUCAUAUUCCUAAUUUAUUCAUGUCAUAGAUGAAGUUAUAAUGUACAAGAACAGCAUUUUGAUUUCACUGAAGAAUACUGCUGCAAAGAAAAAUAAAAUGUUUUCGAUAUAAACUUGGAUACUUAAGCUUGCGCAUGGUUACACAACAUUACAAGGAGAUCAAGGAA
This 220-nucleotide unclassified non-coding RNA is filed under the name Hevea brasiliensis (rubber tree). Lineage: Eukaryota; Viridiplantae; Streptophyta; Magnoliopsida; Malpighiales; Euphorbiaceae. The record is from RNAcentral.